ACAAGUUGACAAGAGCAUCGGGUGGAUGCCUUGGCGUCGGAAGGCGAUGAAAGACGUGGUAAGCUGCGAAAAGCCUCGGGGAGAAGCUAAACAUUCUAUGAUCCGGGGAUUUCUGAAUGGGGAAACCCGGCGGAGGUCAUGCUCCGUCGCGGGCACUUGAAUACAUAAAGUGCCCAGCGCCAACUCAGGGAAGUGAAACAUCUCAGUACCUGAAGGAAAAGAAAUCAAACGAGACUCCCAAAGUAGCGGCGAGCGAAAUGGGAUGAGCCCAAACCGGCUGGAUUCGUUCAGCCGGGGUUGUAGGGCCGGCAUAUGUGAUUCAUGAGUAGGCAGGGGAAAUGAGCUGGAAAGCUCUGCCAGAGCGGGUGACAGCCCCGUACCUGAAACCCAAAGCGACACAGCCGGUACCUGAGUACCGCGAGACACGUGGAACCUCGUGGGAAUCCGGGAGGACCAUCUUCCAAGGCUAAGUACUAACCGACGACCGAUAGUGUACCAGUACCGUGAGGGAAAGGUGAAAAGAACCUCUGUUAGAGGAGUGAAAUAGAAUCUGAAACCUGGUGCUUACAAGCUGUGAGAGCGGACUUGUUCCGUGAUCACGUGCCUUUUGCAUAAUGAGUCAGCGAGUUAAUCUGUACUGCAAGGUUAAGCGCAAGUGGAGCCGUAGGGAAACCGAGUCUGAUAAGGGCGAUGAGUAGUGCGGAUUAGACCCGAAACCGGGUGAUCUAUCCAUGAGCAGGUUGAAGCAAGGGUAAAACCUUGUGGAGGACCGAACCAAUACCGGCUGAAAACGGUUUGGAUGACUUGUGGAUAGGGGUGAAAGGCCAAUCAAACCCGGUGAUAGCUGGUUCUCCCCGAAAUAUAUUGAGGUAUAGCCUCAUGGAUUGUCUACCGGAGGUAAAGCACUGACAGGGCUAGGGGUCCUACCAGAUUACCAAACCCUAUCAAACUCAGAAUGCCGGUCAGAUGUACCAUGGGAGUCAGACGGCGGGUGCUAAGGUCCGUCGUCGAGAGGGUAAGAGCCCAGAUCAACAGCUAAGGUCUCCAAAUCUAUGCUCAGUGGUUAAGGUGGUGACGUUGUAGAGACACCCAGGACGUUGGCUUAGAAGCAGCCAUCCUUUAAAGAAAGCGUAAUAGCUCACUGGUCUAAUGACGUUGCGCCGAAAAUGUAACGGGGCUAAGCAUAGUACCGAAGCUUUGAAUUCCGCAUAUGCGGUCUGGUAGGGGAGCGUUCUUCACGGGCUGAAGGUGUGUCGUAAGGCAUGCUGGACUGUGGAGAAGUGAUUAUGCUGACAUGAGUAACGAUAAAACGGGUGAAAAACCCGUUCGCCGUAAACCCAAGGUUUUCCGGGUAAAGGUAAUCUUCCCGGAGUUAGUCGGCCCCUAAGGCGAGGCUGAAAGGCGUAGCUGAUGGGAAACGUGUUAAUAUUCACGUACUUGUGUGUUCGCGCGAUGAAGGGACGCAGGAAGAUAGGCAAGCCGGGCGCUGGUUGUCCCGGUGCAAGCGUGUAGGGAUGAGAAGUUGGCAAAUCCGCUUCUCUCUAUCCUGAGACGCGAGUCCGUGACCGAAAGGUCUGAAGUUGUUGAGUCUAUGCUGCCUAGAAAAGCUUCUAAGUAUAGGACACGCAAACCGUACCGGAAACCAACUCAGGUGGGUGGGAUGAAUAAUCCAAGGCGCUCGAGAGAACUCUGGCCAAGGAACUCGGCAAAAUAACCCCGUACCUUCGGAAGAAGGGGUGCUUUUUAGGGUGAAGCGAUUCACUCUGUCGAGCCCUGAAAAGCCGCAGAGAAAUGGUGGUGGCGACUGUUUACUAAAAACAUAGGUCUGUGCCAAGUCGUAUAGACGACGUAUACGGACUGACGCCUGCCCGGUGCUGGAAGGUUAAAAGGAGGAGUCAGCGCAAGCGAAGCUCCGAAUUGAAGCCCCAGUAAACGGCGGCCGUAACUAUAACGGUCCUAAGGUAGCGAAAUUCCUUGUCGGGUAAGUUCCG
This 1991-nucleotide ribosomal RNA is filed under the name human gut metagenome. RNAcentral's name for it is "bacterial LSU rRNA". It matches the Rfam family "Bacterial large subunit ribosomal RNA", at positions 1 to 1985 of the family's 2925-position model. The record is from RNAcentral.